This 253-nucleotide unclassified non-coding RNA is filed under the name uncultured Planctomycetota bacterium. RNAcentral describes it as "uncultured planctomycete contains 16S-23S intergenic spacer region". It matches the Rfam family "Bacterial small subunit ribosomal RNA", at positions 524 to 776 of the family's 1533-position model. The record is from RNAcentral. Lineage: Bacteria; Pseudomonadati; Planctomycetota.
UACGAAGGUGGCAAGCGUUAUUCGGAAUCACUGGGCAUAAAGGGCCCGUAGGCGGAUCGGUCAGUUGGUGGUGAAAGCCCUCGGCUCAACCGGGGAAUUGCCAUCAAUACUGCCAAUCUAGAGUGCUGGAGGGGUGAGUGGAAUUUCUGGUGGAGCGGUGGAAUGCGUAGAUAUCAGAAAGAACGACGGAGGCGAAAGCGACUCACUGGACAGCAACUGACGCUGAGGGGCGAAAGCUAGGGGAGCGAACGGG